GAGUUUGAUCCUGGCUCAGGACGAACGCUGGCGGCGCGCUUAACACAUGCAAGUCGAGCGAGAACCUGGCCUUCGGGCCUGGGGAAAGCGGCGAACGGGUGAGUAACACGUGGGUAACCCACCCUUGGUACCGGGAUAGCCCGGGGAAACCCGGAUUAAUACCGGAUGGCCCAACAGCUCUUCGGGGCGGUUGGAAAAGGUAGCUUCGGCCUCCGACCAAGGACGGGCCCGCGGCGGAUUAGCUUGUUGGUGGGGUAACGGCCUACCAAGGCGACGAUCCGUAGCUGGUCUGAGAGGACGAUCAGCCACACUGGGACUGAGACACGGCCCAGACUCCUACGGGAGGCAGCAGUGGGGAAUCUUGCGCAAUGGGCGAAAGCCUGACGCAGCGACGCCGCGUGGGGGAAGAAGGCUUUCGGGUUGUAAACCCCUUUCAGGAAGGACGAAGCUACUCGGGUUAAUAGCCCAGAGGGUGACGGUACUUCCAGAAGAAGCCCCGGCUAACUACGUGCCAGCAGCCGCCGU
RNAcentral lists this ribosomal RNA (525 nucleotides) under uncultured bacterium. RNAcentral's name for it is "bacterial SSU rRNA". It matches the Rfam family "Bacterial small subunit ribosomal RNA", at positions 9 to 521 of the family's 1533-position model. The record is from RNAcentral.